UACGUAGGGGGCAAGCGUUGUCCGGAAUCAUUGGGCGUAAAGAGCGCGUAGGCGGUCCGGUAAGUCCGCUCUGAAAGUCCGGGGCUCAACCCCGGGAGGCGGGCGGAUACUGUCGGGCUAGAGUCCGGAAGAGGCGAGUGGAAUUCCUGGUGUAGCGGUGAAAUGCGCAGACAUCAGGAGGAACACCAAUGGCGAAGGCAGCUCGCUGGGACGUGACUGACGCUGAGACGCGAAAGCGUGGGGAGCGAACAGG
RNAcentral lists this ribosomal RNA (253 nucleotides) under uncultured bacterium. Its description in RNAcentral is "partial 16S ribosomal RNA". It matches the Rfam family "Bacterial small subunit ribosomal RNA", at positions 524 to 776 of the family's 1533-position model. The record is from RNAcentral.